AUACGGAGGAUCCGAGCGUUAUCCGGAUUUAUUGGGUUUAAAGGGUGCGCAGGCGGCCAUUUAAGUCAGCGGUUAAAUCGUGGGGCUCAACCCCAUUCUGCCGUUGAUACUGGGUGGCUUGAUUGCGGUCGAGGUUGGCGGAAUUCGUUGUGUAGCGGUGAAAUGCAUAGAUAUGACGAAGAACACCGAUUGCGUAGGCAGCUGACCAGACCGCAAAUGACGCUCAUGCACGAAAGUGCGGUGAUCGAACAGGAUUAGAUACCCUGGUAGUCCGCACAGUAAACGAUGAAUACUUGUUUUCGGCGAUAUAAUGUCGGAGGCAAAGCGAAAGCGAUAAUUAUUCCACCUGGGGAGUACGCCGGCAACGGUGAAACUCAAAUGAAUUGACGGGG
This 392-nucleotide ribosomal RNA is filed under the name uncultured bacterium. RNAcentral's name for it is "partial 16S ribosomal RNA". It matches the Rfam family "Bacterial small subunit ribosomal RNA", at positions 523 to 918 of the family's 1533-position model. The record is from RNAcentral.